RNAcentral lists this ribosomal RNA (753 nucleotides) under Nostoc sp. ARC4. Its description in RNAcentral is "bacterial SSU rRNA". It matches the Rfam family "Bacterial small subunit ribosomal RNA", at positions 288 to 1037 of the family's 1533-position model. Lineage: Bacteria; Bacillati; Cyanobacteriota; Cyanophyceae; Nostocales; Nostocaceae. The record is from RNAcentral.
UGGUCUGAGAGGACGAUCAGCCACACUGGGACUGAGACACGGCCCAGACUCCUACGGGAGGCAGCAGUGGGGAAUUUUCCCGCAAUGGGCGAAAGCCUGAUGGAGGCAAUACCGCGUGAGGGAGGAAGGCUCUUGGGUCGUAAACCUCUUUUCUCAGGGAAGAGACACAAUGACGGUACCUGAGGAAUAAGCAUCGGCUAACUCCGUGCCAGGCAGCCGCGGUCAAUACGGAGGAUGCAAGCGUUAUCCGGAAUAAUUGGGCGUAAAGCGUCCGCAGGUGGCGAUGUAAGUCUGCUGUUAAAGCGUCUUAGCUCAACUAGAUAAGAGCAGUGGAAAUCUACUUCGCUAGAGUGCGUUCGGGGACAGAGGGAUAUUCCUGGUGUAGCGGUGAAAUGCGUAGAGAUCAGGAAGAACACCAGUGGCGAAGGCGCUCUGCUAGGCCGUCAACUGACACUGAGGGACGAAAGCUAAGGGGAGCGAAUGGUGAUUAGAUACCCCAGUAGUCCUAGCCGUAAACGAUGGAUACUAGGCGUGGCAUUGUAUCGACCCGAGCCGUGCCCGUAGCUAACGUCGUUAAGUAUCCCGCCUGGGGAGUACGCCGGCAACGGUGAAACUCAAAGGAAUUGACGGGCGGCCCGCACAAGCGGUGGAGUAUGUGGUUUAAUUCGAUGCAACGCGAAGAACCUUACCAAGGCUUGACAUGUCGCGAAUCUUACUUGAAAGGGGAGAGUGCCUUCGGGAGCGCGAACAGCA